This 253-nucleotide ribosomal RNA is filed under the name uncultured bacterium. RNAcentral's name for it is "partial 16S ribosomal RNA". It matches the Rfam family "Bacterial small subunit ribosomal RNA", at positions 524 to 776 of the family's 1533-position model. The record is from RNAcentral.
UACGUAGGUGGCAAGCGUUGUCCGGAUUUACUGGGCGUAAAGAGCGCGCAGGCGGUCGAUCAAGUCGAGUGUGAAAGCCCCCGGCUCAACUGGGGAGGGUCAUUCGAUACUGAUCGACUCGAAGGCAGGAGAGGGUAGUGGAAUUCCCGGUGUAGUGGUGAAAUGCGUAGAUAUCGGGAGGAACACCAGUGGCGAAGGCGACUACCUGGCCUGUUCUUGACGCUGAGGCGCGAAAGCCAGGGGAGCAAACGGG